RNAcentral lists this ribosomal RNA (441 nucleotides) under Triticum aestivum (bread wheat). RNAcentral's name for it is "partial small subunit ribosomal RNA". Lineage: Eukaryota; Viridiplantae; Streptophyta; Magnoliopsida; Poales; Poaceae. The record is from RNAcentral.
AUGGCAAAAUUCUAGUGGGGGAGUUCCAUUGACAGGAGAUCACUCCAUUGGAUUGCAUGGGACAAGCUUGCAACACCAAAGUUUAAUGGCGGAAUGGGCUUUCGUGAUCUUCAGAUCUUUAACUUAGCAUUACUAGGGAAGCAUGGAUGGCGCUUCAUGACAAAUCCAGAUUCCUUAUGUGCCAGGGUUAUGAAAGGGAGAUAUUUCCCCGACACAGACUUCAUGCACGCCUUGGUACCGAACUCCUCGGCGACGUGGAGAGCAAUUGUGGCAGGCCGUGAAGCUUUGCAGACGGGACUGGUGAAGCGGGUUGGUAAUGGGUCCUCUAUCUCAGUUUGGGAGGAUAAGUGGAUCCCUUCUACGGUGACAAUGUCCCCGAUGCUAUGCCCAGCAGGUGCGACAGUCCAAACUGUUGAUGAGUUGAUCUACACUGAUAGUUAG